AUUAAGGCUCCGAUGCCAGGAUAAUUAAUUUUCGUUGCACUAGUUAUCUCAAUGAUAAAAAUCCAAUAAGACAAGUUAUAAAGUAAAAAACUCUACAGGAAAUUUAAGAAAAAAAUUCCAGUGCAAAUAGUUCGUUCCCUAAAAUUUGUUUACGAUAAAUAUGGGCCUGAUAAAUUAUAUUUAACAAACAUACACAAAAGACAAAAU
This 207-nucleotide long non-coding RNA is filed under the name Gossypium barbadense (sea-island cotton). Its description in RNAcentral is "long non-coding RNA (GBAR_LNC021511)". The record is from RNAcentral. Lineage: Eukaryota; Viridiplantae; Streptophyta; Magnoliopsida; Malvales; Malvaceae.